RNAcentral lists this ribosomal RNA (434 nucleotides) under uncultured bacterium. RNAcentral describes it as "bacterial SSU rRNA". It matches the Rfam family "Bacterial small subunit ribosomal RNA", at positions 43 to 524 of the family's 1533-position model. The record is from RNAcentral.
CAGGCCUAACACAUGCAAGUCGAACGAGCUCUUCGGAGCUAGUGGCGGACGGGUGAGUAACGCGUGGGAACGUGCCCUUCUCUACGGAAUAGUCCCGGGAAACUGGGUUUAAUACCGUAUACGCCCUUCGGGGGAAAGAAUUUCGGAGAAGGAUCGGCCCGCGUUGGAUUAGGUAGUUGGUGGGGUAAUGGCCUACCAAGCCGACGAUCCAUAGCUGGUUUGAGAGGAUGACCAGCCACACUGGGACUGAGACACGGCCCAGACUCCUACGGGAGGCAGCAGUGGGGAAUCUUAGACAAUGGGGGCAACCCUGAUCUAGCCAUGCCGCGUGGACGAUGAAGGCCUUAGGGUUGUAAAGUCCUUUCGCUGGGGAAGAUAAUGACGGUACCCAGUAAAGAAGCCCCGGCUAACUCCGUGCCAGCAGCCGCGGUAAU